GACGAACGCUGGCGGCGUGCUUAACACAUGCAAGUCGAACGAUGAAGAAAAGAAUCGAAGCUUCGGCAGAAAUUCAUUUCGGAUUAGUGGCAGACGGGUGAGUAACGCGUGAGCAACCUACCUCUUACAAAGGGAUAGCCUCGGGAAACCGGGAUUAAUACCAUAUAACAUUGUGACGAAGCAUUUCGAUGCAAUCAAAGCUACGGCGGCAAGAGAUGGGCUCGCGUCCCAUUAACCGGAUGGUGAGGUAACGGCUCACCAUAGUGACGAUGGGUAACCGGCCUGAGAGGGUGAACGGUCACACUGGAACUGAGACACGGUCCAGACUCCUACGGGAGGCAGCAGUGGGGAAUAUUGCACAAUGGAGGGAACUCUGAUGCAGCGACGCCGCGUGAGUGAUGAAGGAAUUCGUUUCGUAAAACUCUGUUCUAUGGGAAGAAAAGGACUGUACCAUAGGAGAAAGCUCCGGCUAAAUACGUG
RNAcentral lists this ribosomal RNA (480 nucleotides) under uncultured bacterium. Its description in RNAcentral is "partial 16S ribosomal RNA". It matches the Rfam family "Bacterial small subunit ribosomal RNA", at positions 28 to 507 of the family's 1533-position model. The record is from RNAcentral.